RNAcentral lists this ribosomal RNA (460 nucleotides) under uncultured bacterium. Its description in RNAcentral is "partial 16S ribosomal RNA". It matches the Rfam family "Bacterial small subunit ribosomal RNA", at positions 338 to 795 of the family's 1533-position model. The record is from RNAcentral.
CCUACGGGAGGCAGCAGUGAGGAAUAUUGGUCAAUGGACGAAAGUCUGAACCAGCCAAGUAGCGUGAAGGAUGACUGCCCUAUGGGUUGUAAACUUCUUUUAUAUGGGAAUAAAAUGUUCCACGUGUGGGAUUUUGUAUGUACCCUAUGAAUAAGGAUCGGCUAACUCCGUGCCAGCAGCCGCGGUAAUACGGAGGAUCCGAGCGUUGUCCGGAUUUAUUGGGUUUAAAGGGAGCGUAGGUGGAUUGUUAAGUCAGUUGUGAAAGUUUGCGGCUCAACCGUAAAAGUGCAGUUGAAACUGGCAGUCGUGAGUACAGUAGAGGUGGGCGGAAUUCGUGGUGUAGCGGUGAAAUGCUUAGAUAUCACGAAGAACUCCGAUUGCGAAGGCAGCUCACUGGACUGCAACUGACACUGAGGCUCGAAAGUGUGGGUAUCAAACAGGAUUAGAUACCCUAGUAGUC